AUGGGCUCAGGAGUGCAAGUUGCUGAUGAAGUAUGUCGCGAUUAACAUGAAAAGUUAGAAAUGCUCCACACCAGAAGAAAUCAAAAAAAGAAAGAAGGCAUGUUUUGUCUCAGUGCAGACAAAAAGUGCAUCAUUGUAGAAAAGGCAAAGAGAUCUUGGUUGGAGAUGUUGGUGUAACCAUAACUGAUCCUUUCAAGAAUUUUGUGGGAAUGCUUCCUGAAAAAGAUUGUCACUAUGCUUUAUAUGAUGCAAGCUUUGAAACCAAGGAAUCCAGAAAAGAAGAGUUGAUGUUUUUUUUGUGGGCACCAGAACUUGCACCUCUGAAAAGUAAAAUGAUCUAUGCAAGCUCCAAGGAUGCAAUCAAAAAGAAAUUUCAAGGCAUAAAACAUGAAUGUCAAGCAAAUGGGCCAGAAGACCUCAAUCAGGCUUGUAUUGCUGAAAAGUUAGGUGGGUCCUUAAUUGUAGCCUUUGAAGGAUGUCCUGUGUAGAUCAUUCAGUGCCACAAAUUGAAAGCUUCCAUGUUUAAUGUUAUCCUCUUGCUAUAUAAAUAAAGCAAAAAUAUAUUUAGGCCAGG
Non-coding RNA from Microcebus murinus (gray mouse lemur), 574 nucleotides. The record is from RefSeq and is a predicted model, not a curated record. NCBI's taxonomy places the organism in Eukaryota, Metazoa, Chordata, Mammalia, Primates, Cheirogaleidae.